UGGGGAAUAUUGCACAAUGGAGGGAACUCUGAUGCAGCGACGCCGCGUGAGUGAUGAAGGAAUUCGUUUCGUAAAACUCUUUUCUAUGGGAAGAAAAGGACUGUACCAUAGGAGAAAGCUCCGGCUAAAUACGUGCCAGCAGCCGCGGUAAUACGUAUGGAGCGAGCGUUGUCCGGAAUUAUUGGGCGGAAAGGGUGCGCAGGCGGCUUUACAAGUUGGAUGUGAAAUAUUGUGGCUCAACCACAAACGUGCAUCCAAAACUGCCAAGCUUGAGUUAAGGAGAGGUAAGUGGAAUUCCUGGUGUAGCGGUGGAAUGCGUAGAUAUCAGGAGGAAUACCGGUGGCGAAGGCGACUUACUGGACUUAAACUGACGCUCAGGCACGAAAGCGUGGGGAGCAAACAGG
RNAcentral lists this ribosomal RNA (404 nucleotides) under Fusobacteriota bacterium. Its description in RNAcentral is "Fusobacteria bacterium partial 16S ribosomal RNA". It matches the Rfam family "Bacterial small subunit ribosomal RNA", at positions 355 to 776 of the family's 1533-position model. The record is from RNAcentral. Lineage: Bacteria; Fusobacteriati; Fusobacteriota.